RNAcentral lists this ribosomal RNA (495 nucleotides) under uncultured bacterium. RNAcentral's name for it is "partial 16S ribosomal RNA". It matches the Rfam family "Bacterial small subunit ribosomal RNA", at positions 28 to 507 of the family's 1533-position model. The record is from RNAcentral.
GACGAACGCUGGCGGCGUGCCUAAUACAUGCAAGUAGAACGCUGAAGGAGGAGCUUGCUUCUCUGGAUGAGUUGCGAACGGGUGAGUAACGCGUAGGUAACCUGCCUGGUAGCGGGGGAUAACUAUUGGAAACGAUAGCUAAUACCGCAUAAGAGUAGAUGUCGCAUGACAUUUGCUUAAAAGUUGCAAUUGCAUCACUACCAGAUGGACCUGCGUUGUAUUAGCUAGUUGGUGAGGUAACGGCUCACCAAGGCAACGAUACAUAGCCGACCGGAGAGGGGGAUCGGCCAAACUGGGACUGAGACACGGCACAGACUCCUACGGGAGGCAGCAGGAGGGAAUCUUGGGCAAUGGACGGGAGUCUGACCGAGCAAGGCGGCGUGAGGGAAGAAGGUUGUCGGAUCGUAAAGCUCUGUUGUAAGAGAAGAAAGAGGGUGAGAGUGGAAAGUUCACACUGUGACGGUAUCUGAACAGAAAGGGACGGCUAACUACGUG